This 253-nucleotide ribosomal RNA is filed under the name uncultured bacterium. Its description in RNAcentral is "partial 16S ribosomal RNA". It matches the Rfam family "Bacterial small subunit ribosomal RNA", at positions 524 to 776 of the family's 1533-position model. The record is from RNAcentral.
GACGAACCGUGCGAACGUUGUUCGGAUUCACUGGGCUUAAAGGGCGCGUAGGCGGUCGACCAAGUCUGGGGUGAAAUCUUUCGGCUCAACCGGAAAAGUGCCCCCGAUACUGGCCGGCUAGAGGGAGAUAGGGGCAUGUGGAACUUCCGGUGGAGCGGUGAAAUGCGUAGAUAUCGGAAGGAACGCCGGUGGCGAAAGCGACGUGCUGGAUCUCUUCUGACGCUGAGGCGCGAAAGCCAGGGGAGCAAACGGG